This 492-nucleotide ribosomal RNA is filed under the name uncultured bacterium. Its description in RNAcentral is "bacterial SSU rRNA". It matches the Rfam family "Bacterial small subunit ribosomal RNA", at positions 31 to 518 of the family's 1533-position model. The record is from RNAcentral.
GAACGCAGCGACAGGCCUAACACAUGCAAGUCGAGGGGCAGCACAAGGAGCAAUCUGAGGUGGCGACCGGCGCACGGGUGAGUAACACGUAUGCAACCUGCCUGUGAGCGGGGAAUAACCCGUUGAAAGACGGACUAAUACCGCAUAAUACUAAAUUACUGCAUGGUAAUUUAUUUAAACAUUUAUGGCUUACAGAUGGGCAUGCGCAUGAUUAGCUAGUUGGAGAGGUAACGGCUCCCCAAGGCAACGAUCAUUAGGGGUUCUGAGAGGAAGGUCCCCCACACUGGUACUGAGACACGGACCAGACUCCUACGGGAGGCAGCAGUGAGGAAUAUUGGUCAAUGGACGAGAGUCUGAACCAGCCAAGUCGCGUGCAGGAAGAAUGUCCUAAUGGAUUGUAAACUGCUUUUGCAGGGGAAUAAAGUGCAUCACGUGUGAUGUUUUGUAUGUACUCUGCGAACAAGGAUCGGCUAACUCCGUGCCAGCAGCAGC